UACGUAGGGUCCGAGCGUUGUCCGGAAUUAUUGGGCGUAAAGAGCUCGUAGGCGGUUCGUCACGUCGGCUGUGAAAUCCCGAGGCUCAACCUCGGGUCUGCAGUCGAUACGGGCGGACUUGAGUACUGCAGGGGAGACUGGAAUUCCUGGUGUAGCGGUGAAAUGCGCAGAUAUCAGGAGGAACACCGGUGGCGAAGGCGGCUUCCUGGCCUGCAACUGACGCUGAGACGCGAAAGCGUGGGGAGCGAACCGG
This 253-nucleotide ribosomal RNA is filed under the name uncultured bacterium. Its description in RNAcentral is "partial 16S ribosomal RNA". It matches the Rfam family "Bacterial small subunit ribosomal RNA", at positions 524 to 776 of the family's 1533-position model. The record is from RNAcentral.